Molecule: transfer RNA, 74 nt
Filed under: Pseudomonas aeruginosa
Lineage: Bacteria; Pseudomonadati; Pseudomonadota; Gammaproteobacteria; Pseudomonadales; Pseudomonadaceae
Also listed under: 1 other name
Description: tRNA-Ser
Source: RNAcentral
CUUGGCGGUGGACGAGGCGAUCGGGCCGGCCUUGUCGAGCAGGGCCAGCUGGCGUUCCAGCGCCUCGUCCAGGC